AGAGUUUGAUCCUGGCUCAGGACGAAUGCUGGCGGCGCGCCUAACACAUGCAAGUCGAACGAGCAAGAGAGAGCUUGCUUUCUCGAGCGAGUGGCGAACGGGUGAGUAACGCGUGAGGAACCUGCCUCAAAGAGGGGGACAACAGUUGGAAACGACUGCUAAUACCGCAUAAGCCCACGGGUCGGCAUCGACCAGAGGGAAAAGGAGCAAUCCGCUUUGAGAUGGCCUCGCGUCCGAUUAGCUAGUUGGUGAGGUAAUGGCCCACCAAGGCGACGAUCGGUAGCCGGACUGAGAGGUUGAACGGCCACAUUGGGACUGAGACACGGCCCAGACUCCUACGGGAGGCAGCAGUGGGGAAUAUUGCACAAUGGGGGAAACCCUGAUGCAGCGACGCCGCGUGGAGGAAGAAGGUCUUCGGAUUGUAAACUCCUGUUGUUGGGGAAGAUAAUGACGGUACCCAACAAGGAAGUGACGGCUAACUACGUGCCAGCAGCCGCGGUAAAACGUAGGUCACAAGCGUUGUCCGGAAUUACUGGGUGUAAAGGGAGCGCAGGCGGGAAGACAAGUUGGAAGUGAAAUCUAUGGGCUCAACCCAUAAACUGCUUUCAAAACUGUUUUUCUUGAGUAGUGCAGAGGUAGGCGGAAUUCCCGGUGUAGCGGUGGAAUGCGUAGAUAUCGGGAGGAACACCAGUGGCGAAGGCGGCCUACUGGGCACCAACUGACGCUGAGGCUCGAAAGUGUGGGUAGCAAACAGGAUUAGAUACCCUGGUAGUCCACACCGUAAACGAUGAUUACUAGGUGUUGGAGGAUUGACCCCUUCAGUGCCGCAGUUAACACAAUAAGUAAUCCACCUGGGGAGUACGACCGCAAGGUUGAAACUCAAAGGAAUUGACGGGGGCCCGCACAAGCAGUGGAGUAUGUGGUUUAAUUCGACGCAACGCGAAGAACCUUACCAAGUCUUGACAUCCCUUGACAGGCAUAGAAAUAUGUUUUCUCUUCGGAGCAAGGAGACAGGUGGUGCAUGGUUGUCGUCAGCUCGUGUCGUGAGAUGUUGGGUUAAGUCCCGCAACGAGCGCAACCCUUAUGGUCAGUUACUACGCAAGAGGACUCUGGCCAGACUGCCGUUGACAAAACGGAGGAAGGUGGGGAUGACGUCAAAUCAUCAUGCCCUUUAUGACUUGGGCUACACACGUACUACAAUGGCGUUAAACAAAGAGAAGCAAGACCGCGAGGUGGAGCAAAACUCAGAAACAACGUCCCAGUUCGGACUGCAGGCUGCAACUCGCCUGCACGAAGUCGGAAUUGCUAGUAAUCGUGGAUCAGCAUGCCACGGUGAAUACGUUCCCGGGCCUUGCACUCAACGGCCGUCA
Molecule: ribosomal RNA, 1370 nt
Filed under: uncultured bacterium
Lineage: Bacteria
Description: bacterial SSU rRNA
Rfam family: Bacterial small subunit ribosomal RNA
Source: RNAcentral